CAUGUGGCUUACAUACUUUCUAGGCAAUUCCCACUCCUCCAAGUUGUGUCCUUAAAGCACCCAACUUCUCUUUCAUCCAUGGCUCUCUUGAACCUCCCAAUCUGAGGUUUUAGAAGCUCAGCAUAGCACAAAACUGAGUUUGUGAUCAUGGGUAUGAAUAAGCCUCACCAUGUGCUUAUCCUGAUCAUCAUAGUGGUGGUCUCAAUUGCAGAGAAACCAUCACUUACAGAAGGAAGAACACUUUCCUUAAUGUCUGGUCAAGUUGCAGGGUACUCAAAGAUUUUUGCAACGCUUGGAGUUGUUUGCAAGUGUUGUGAUGGUGUUGGAGGAGCCUGCACUAGUACAUGGACGAAAUCUUGCAAUAAUCUGCAGUGUUUUCCUUGGAAAUCACACUAGUUAAUUAUUUUUCCUGUAUCUUUUCUUGUCUUGCAUUUGCUGUAUAUUUAGUUCAGAAAUAUCAUAUAAAAUUGAAUAGUUGAAGUCUGCGUUCUGUUCUGAGUAGUGUGAACAGUUUGACUUGGUGAAAAACUGAGAAGUAUCCAUGGUUCUUAAUUUGGAACAAAUCAAUAACAAUAAUAUGUGGAAGUAUUAAUGAUCA
Long non-coding RNA from Cajanus cajan (pigeon pea), 598 nucleotides. RefSeq lists it as uncharacterized. Lineage: Eukaryota; Viridiplantae; Streptophyta; Magnoliopsida; Fabales; Fabaceae. The record is from RefSeq and is a predicted model, not a curated record.